GAUGAACGCUAGCUACAGGCUUAACUCAUGCAAGUCGCGGGGCAGCAUGGGGGUUGCUUGCAAUCCCCGAUGGCGACCGGCGCACGGGUGAGUAACGCGUAUCCAACCUGCCCUUCACCACGGGAUAACCCGGCGAAAGUCGGACUAAUACCGUAUGUUGUCCAUUGACGGCAUCCGAUUUGGACGAAAGGUUUGGCGGUGAAGGAUGGGGAUGCGUCCGAUUAGCUGGACGGCGGGGUGACGGCCCACCGUGGCGACGAUCGGUAGGGGUUCUGAGAGGAAGGUCCCCCACACUGGAACUGAGACACGGUCCAGACUCCUACGGGAGGCAGCAGUGAGGAAUAUUGGUCAAUGGGCGUAAGCCUGAACCAGCCAAGUAGCGUGCAGGAUGACGGCCCUAUGGGUUGUAAACUGCUUUUAUGCGGGGAUAAAGUGGCCCACGUGUGGGUUUUUGCAGGUACCGCAUGAAUAAGGACCGGCUAAGUCCGUG
RNAcentral lists this ribosomal RNA (490 nucleotides) under uncultured bacterium. Its description in RNAcentral is "partial 16S ribosomal RNA". It matches the Rfam family "Bacterial small subunit ribosomal RNA", at positions 28 to 507 of the family's 1533-position model. The record is from RNAcentral.